GACGAACGCUGGCGGCGUGCCUAAUACAUGCAAGUCGAGCGAACUUUUGGGAGCUUGCUCCCAAAAGUUAGCGGCGGACGGGUGAGUAACACGUGGGCAACCUGCCUAUAAGACUGGGAUAACUUCGGGAAACCGGAGCUAAUACCGGAUAAUUCUUUUCCUCUCAUGAGGAAAAGCUGAAAGACGGUUUCGGCUGUCACUUAUAGAUGGGCCCGCGGCGCAUUAGCUAGUUGGUGAGGUAACGGCUCACCAAGGCAACGAUGCGUAGCCGACCUGAGAGGGUGAUCGGCCACACUGGGACUGAGACACGGCCCAGACUCCUACGGGAGGCAG
RNAcentral lists this ribosomal RNA (333 nucleotides) under uncultured Bacillota bacterium. RNAcentral describes it as "bacterial SSU rRNA". It matches the Rfam family "Bacterial small subunit ribosomal RNA", at positions 28 to 351 of the family's 1533-position model. Lineage: Bacteria; Bacillati; Bacillota. The record is from RNAcentral.